Molecule: non-coding RNA, 121 nt
Filed under: Acidovorax delafieldii
Lineage: Bacteria; Pseudomonadati; Pseudomonadota; Betaproteobacteria; Burkholderiales; Comamonadaceae
Also listed under: 1 other name
Description: TPP sequence
Rfam family: TPP riboswitch aptamer (THI element)
About the family: Vitamin B(1) in its active form thiamin pyrophosphate (TPP) is an essential coenzyme that is synthesised by coupling of pyrimidine and thiazole moieties in bacteria. The previously detected thiamin-regulatory element, thi box was extended, resulting in a new, highly conserved RNA secondary structure, the THI element, which is widely distributed in eubacteria and also occurs in some archaea. Analysis of operon structures identified a large number of new candidate thiamin-regulated genes, mostly transporters, in various prokaryotic organisms.
Source: RNAcentral
GCGCCUGCUCCGGGGUGUGCUGAUGCACUGAGAUGCGGGGGGCCUGACAUGCAGGCCCAGCCGCGAACCCGACGAACUUGAUCCGGUUCAUACCGGCGGAAGAAGAGCCGACCCCUCCAUG